Long non-coding RNA from Rhinichthys klamathensis goyatoka, 481 nucleotides. RefSeq lists it as uncharacterized. The transcript has 2 exons. The record is from RefSeq and is a predicted model, not a curated record. NCBI's taxonomy places the organism in Eukaryota, Metazoa, Chordata, Actinopteri, Cypriniformes, Leuciscidae.
AUACAUAAAUACACACACACACACACACACACACACUAAAUUAACACUUUUCCAGUUGUUUGACUGAUUGUCAUUAUCCCCAUUAUUGAUAUUCACACACUUUAUUUGUGCACAGUGUGUUAUUAAAAUCCUUCAGAUUAUCUGAUUAAAACUGCUGGAUCUCAGAGGAUUAUUAUAAUCAAUAAUGUGAGAUGAAUAACACAUCAUCUAUAUAACCAUAGAGAUAACUGUAAAGUGAAUCUGAAUCUUCUGUCAGCUCCAGUAUUUCUCUGUAUAUUCACAUGUUUUAUUACAGUUUAAUGAUGUUAUUGUAGUUUCUGGUCAAUAAACGCUUGUUCCUUGUUCAGUGUGAACAUGUUUCUUCAGUGUUUGAUGUUUGACUGUUAUUUUCAUUCAUGAUAAACGUUUGUCACCCUGAGUUUCACUGUUUUUACACGUUUGCUUUUUAAUGUCCAGUUUUGACUGAAUCACUUUAUGAAUC